GCAGUGUUGUCGUCAGCUCGUGUCGUGAGAUGUUGGGUUAAGUCCCGCAACGAGCGCAACCCUCGACCUUAGUUGCCAGCAUUCAGUUGGGCACUCUAAGGUGACUGCCGGCUAAAAGUCGGAGGAAGGUGGGGAUGACGUCAAAUCAUCAUGCCCCUUAUGACCUGGGCUACACACGUGCUACAAUGGGCGGUACAAAGGGUCGCGAACCCGCGAGGGGGAGCCAAUCCCAAAAAGCCGCUCUCAGUUCGGAUUGCAGGCUGCAACUCGCCUGCAUGAAGCCGGAAUCGCUAGUAAUCGCGGAUCAGCAUGCCGCGGUGAAUACGUUCCCGGGCCUU
RNAcentral lists this ribosomal RNA (338 nucleotides) under uncultured Anoxybacillus sp. RNAcentral's name for it is "bacterial SSU rRNA". It matches the Rfam family "Bacterial small subunit ribosomal RNA", at positions 1043 to 1382 of the family's 1533-position model. Lineage: Bacteria; Bacillati; Bacillota; Bacilli; Caryophanales; Anoxybacillaceae. The record is from RNAcentral.